Long non-coding RNA from Phragmites australis (common reed), 1641 nucleotides. RefSeq lists it as uncharacterized. NCBI's taxonomy places the organism in Eukaryota, Viridiplantae, Streptophyta, Magnoliopsida, Poales, Poaceae. The record is from RefSeq and is a predicted model, not a curated record. The transcript is spliced from 3 exons.
CUAUAUGCGUACUUGAUUUUUUCCCCCUCAAAGAAGAUCUUCCUGUUGACUGUAUCAAUGCAGAGUUGUUCACUUCAACCUAGAUUUUGCUCCCCUUGCUUGAAUAGUUGAUCUGCUCUGAUUAAUGUGGCACAUUUGAUCAUGUAGAAUGGUUUGCUUCAAUAUAUGAGGGACACAUUGCUGAUCGUAUCUGGAAGUUUUCGAUUCGUUGGUUCUAUCAUUAAUAUCUAGAUGAUAAUAUGCUGCUGAAUAUUUCUGCAAUUUUGCCUCCCUCUGCUGAACAUAUAAACAUAAGUUUCUUCUGAUACCCCUUCUGAUUAUGUUUUCCCAUAUGCAACACAGUUUGUAUAGCUACUUGAGAUAUCUAGGUCCAAGCAAUGUCACAGUGAGCUAUCAACAACUGAGUCGUCAGAAUCCAUCGACAAUGGCUAAGACGUUGUCCAGUACAAAAUUGAUCGUAUGUCCAAGCGGUCUAUCAAUAUUAUGUAGUUUGGUAUUCCCACCAAGGUAUUCAGUUAGCGAUCCUCUCCUCAGUGGAAUGCCCUCAGGUUACAGGAAAGUAGAAUAUCUUGAACACUUUAUCAUAGCUUUCCAUUAACUACAUGUGAUAGUCUUUUUCAGCUUCAAGUUGCAUUUGUCUUGGGAAAUAGUUAUUUCAAAACAUGAGAAGUGAUAAGCGUAAAGAAUUCAUGAUCAUAAAAAAGAAAAUUUUGGUUUGUGUCUGUUGACCAGCAGCAGUGUUCAUAUAUUGCCACCGAGCAACAGGUGGGGGCACGCCAAAUAAAAGGUGUUUAAUGCAGUCUACUCAAUGAUAGAGUCAACUGAUCACUUAUGUAAUAGUUCUCAUUGGACAGGUGUUUCCUCAGUAUAUCCUUUUUCUAGUGUGUUAUUAGUUUAACCUUUCAGUGUUCUGUUGGGUGAUAUCUUUCCUCAUUCCUCGUUUUAGAGUUCCAAGCUAUUUCAUAAAUAUUUUGCUGAAUUUACACUUGGCAACUAUAUAAUGUAACAAGCCUAUACAAUAGCGCUGCCGAUACCAUUUGUUUUUUUUAGCUGAUUGCAUUUGUUUGUUAUGCUUUGUUUGAUUUGGCGUUACUCAGGCAAAGAUAUGCCGUUGCCUAACAAAAUUAGGAGGAACUCGGUAAGACAAGUUGAUAAACCUUGCUCAAUAUGCAUACUGGCUCCUCCAUUCGUAUAAAUAGAAUAUUAGGAGGCAAGAGAGUAGUAGUAGGAGAGUAUCAGUUUCAGUUGCUUACCAUAAUGUGCAUAUAUUGUGUUGGCUUUUUGUCUCUUUUGUUCAUUUUAUUUGACUGCUCUCCAAACAGUCACACAUGCAGAUUGAUGUUCGUUUCAUUUGACUGCUCUCCGUACAAUAUGCAGAUGGAUGAAUAUCAAGACCAUUUUUAUUGAUGAUUGAUUAUACCGAAAUGAUAAAUAUAGAUUGAAUAUAUCUUCAUAUUUUGUGCUCUUUGUUAGGCAGCUGCAUGUUACAUUUUUAAGGGACAGAUUGAUACACGUUUCAAGGUUAUGGAUAUGAUUGGAAUGAAGCUUUCUACUUGAACCAAAUUAAGACGGUUCAGCCCAGGAGUUCGGCAACUUUCAAGAGGAAGAUUUUGAAGGUCCUGUGCAACACUUCGACGAAGG